UACAGUAAUACAACCCUGAAUGUGCCUGAUCUCAUCUGAUCUUGAAAGUUAAGCAGGGUUGGGCUUGGUUAGUACUUGAGUAGAAAAAUGCCUGGAAAUCAACAGUUGAAAUAU
This 114-nucleotide ribosomal RNA is filed under the name Carlito syrichta (Philippine tarsier). The record is from RNAcentral. Lineage: Eukaryota; Metazoa; Chordata; Mammalia; Primates; Tarsiidae.